AGUGAACGCUGGCGGUAGGCCUAACACAUGCAAGUCGAACGGCAGCACAGUAAGAGCUUGCUCUUACGGGUGGCGAGUGGCGGACGGGUGAGGAAUACAUCGGAAUCUACUUUUUCGUGGGGGAUAACGUAGGGAAACUUACGCUAAUACCGCAUACGACCUACGGGUGAAAGCAGGGGAUCUUCGGACCUUGCGCGAUUGAAUGAGCCGAUGUCGGAUUAGCUAGUUGGCGGGGUAAAGGCCCACCAAGGCGACGAUCCGCAGCUGGUCUGAGAGGAUGAUCAGCCACACUGGAACUGAGACACGGUCCAGACUCCUACGGGAGGCAGCAGUGGGGAAUAUUGGACAAUGGGCGCAAGCCUGAUCCAGCCUUACCGCGUGGGUGAAGAAGGCCUUCGGGUUGUAAAGCCCUUUUGUUGGGAAAGAAAAGCAGCAGGUUAAUACCCCGCUGUUCUGACGGUACCCAAAGAAUAAGCACCGGCUAACUUCGUG
This 492-nucleotide ribosomal RNA is filed under the name uncultured bacterium. RNAcentral describes it as "partial 16S ribosomal RNA". It matches the Rfam family "Bacterial small subunit ribosomal RNA", at positions 29 to 507 of the family's 1533-position model. The record is from RNAcentral.